UUACAAUGGCAGGUACAGCGGGAGGCCAGGCGGCGACGCCGAGCGGAACCCGAAAACCUGUCUCAGUUCGGAUCGGAGUCUGCAACCCGACUCCGUGAAGCUGGAUUCGCUAGUAAUCGCGCAUCAGCCAUGGCGCGGUGAAUACGUUCCCGGGCCUUGUACACACCGCCCGUCAAGCCAUGGAAGCCGGGGGUGCCUGAAGUGUGCAGCCGCAAGGAGCGCCCUAAGGUAAAACCGGUGACUGGGGCUAAGUCGUAACAAGGUAUC
This 267-nucleotide ribosomal RNA is filed under the name uncultured bacterium. RNAcentral describes it as "partial 16S ribosomal RNA". It matches the Rfam family "Bacterial small subunit ribosomal RNA", at positions 1225 to 1500 of the family's 1533-position model. The record is from RNAcentral.